GAUAUAGCUCAGAGGAACAGCACCUGUCUGGCAAGCAUGAGGCCCUGAGUUCUAUUCCCAGUAUC
Molecule: transfer RNA, 65 nt
Filed under: Heterocephalus glaber (naked mole-rat)
Lineage: Eukaryota; Metazoa; Chordata; Mammalia; Rodentia; Bathyergidae
Rfam family: tRNA
About the family: Transfer RNA (tRNA) molecules are approximately 80 nucleotides in length. Their secondary structure includes four short double-helical elements and three loops (D, anti-codon, and T loops).
Source: Rfam by way of RNAcentral